GCUCGCCGGAAGACCAAGGGUUCCUGUCCAACGUUAAUCGGGGCAGGGUGAGUCGACCCCUAAGGCGAGGCCGAAAGGCGUAGUCGAUGGGAAACAGGUUAAUAUUCCUGUACUUGGUGUUACUGCGAAGGGGGGACGGAGAAGGCUAUGUUGGCCGGGCGACGGUUGUCCCGGUUUAAGCGUGUAGGCUGGUUUUCCAGGCAAAUCCGGAAAAUCAAGGCCGAGGCGUGAUGACGAGGCACUACGGUGCUGAAGCAACAAAUGCCCUGCUUCCAGGAAAAGCCUCUAAGCAUCAGGUAACAUCAAAUCGUACCCCAAACCGACACAGGUGGUCAGGUAGAGAAUACCAAGGCGCUUGAGAGAACUCGGGUGAAGGAACUAGGCAAAAUGGUGCCGUAACUUCGGGAGAAGGCACGCUGAUACGUAGGUGAAGCGACUUGCUCGUGGAGCUGAAAUCAGUCGAAGAUACCAGCUGGCUGCAACUGUUUAUUAAAAACACAGCACUGUGCAAACACGAAAGUGGACGUAUACGGUGUGACGCCUGCCCGGUGCCGGAAGGUUAAUUGAUGGGGUUAGCGCAAGCGAAGCUCUUGAUCGAAGCCCCGGUAAACGGCGGCCGUAACUAUAACGGUCCUAAGGUAGCGAAAUUCCUUGUCGGGUAAGUUCCGACCUGCACGAAUGGCGUAAUGAUGGCCAGGCUGUCUCCACCCGAGACUCAGUGAAAUUGAACUCGCUGUGAAGAUGCAGUGUACCCGCGGCAAGACGGAAAGACCCCGUGAACCUUUACUAUAGCUUGACACUGAACAUUGAGCCUUGAUGUGUAGGAUAGGUGGGAGGCUUUGAAGUGUGGACGCCAGUCUGCAUGGAGCCGACCUUGAAAUACCACCCUUUAAUGUUUGAUGUUCUAACGUGGACCCGUGAUCCGGGUUGCGGACAGUGUCUGGUGGGUAGUUUGACUGGGGCGGUCUCCUCCUAAAGAGUAACGGAGGAGCACGAAGGUUGGCUAAUCCUGGUCGGACAUCAGGAGGUUAGUGCAAUGGCAUAAGCCAGCUUGACUGCGAGCGUGACGGCGCGAGCAGGUGCGAAAGCAGGUCAUAGUGAUCCGGUGGUUCUGAAUGGAAGGGCCAUCGCUCAACGGAUAAAAGGUACUCCGGGGAUAACAGGCUGAUACCGCCCAAGAGUUCAUAUCGACGGCGGUGUUUGGCACCUCGAUGUCGGCUCAUCACAUCCUGGGGCUGAAGUAGGUCCCAAGGGUAUGGCUGUUCGCCAUUUAAAGUGGUACGCGAGCUGGGUUUAGAACGUCGUGAGACAGUUCGGUCCCUAUCUGCCGUGGGCGCUGGAGAACUGAGGGGGGCUGCUCCUAGUACGAGAGGACCGGAGUGGACGCAUCACUGGUGUUCGGGUUGUCAUGCCAAUGGCACUGCCCGGUAGCUAAAUGCGGAAGAGAUAAGUGCUGAAAGCAUCUAAGCACGAAACUUGCCCCGAGAUGAGUUCUCCCUGACCCUUUAAGGGUCCUGAAGGAACGUUGAAGACGACGACGUUGAUAGGCCGGGUGUGUAAGCGCAGCGAUGCGUUGAGCUAACCGGUACUAAUGAACCGUGAGGCUUAACCUUACAACGCCGAAG
Molecule: ribosomal RNA, 1625 nt
Filed under: Shigella flexneri
Lineage: Bacteria; Pseudomonadati; Pseudomonadota; Gammaproteobacteria; Enterobacterales; Enterobacteriaceae
Description: partial 23S ribosomal RNA
Rfam family: Bacterial large subunit ribosomal RNA
Source: RNAcentral